This 715-nucleotide ribosomal RNA is filed under the name uncultured bacterium. RNAcentral describes it as "bacterial SSU rRNA". It matches the Rfam family "Bacterial small subunit ribosomal RNA", at positions 94 to 813 of the family's 1533-position model. The record is from RNAcentral.
AGCGGCGAACGGGUGAGAAACACGUAGGUGAUCUGCCCAUCAGACGGGGACAACGAUUGGAAACGAUCGCUAAUACCGGAUAGGACGAAAGUUUAAAGGUGCUUCUGGCACCGCUGAUGGAUGAGCCUGCGGCGCAUUAGCUAGUUGGUAGGGUAAAGGCCUACCAAGGCGACGAUGCGUAGCCGACCUGAGAGGGUGAACGGCCACACUGGGACUGAGACACGGCCCAGACUCCUACGGGAGGCAGCAGUAGGGAAUCUUCGGCAAUGGGCGAAAGCCUGACCGAGCAGCGCCGCGUGAAUGAUGAAGGCCUUCGGGUUGUAAAAUUCUGUUAUAAGGGAAGAACGACUUCAGUAGGAAAUGGCUAGAGUGUGACGGUACCUUAUGAGAAAGCCACGGCUAACUACGUGCCAGCAGCCGCGGUAAUACGUAGGUGGCGAGCGUUAUCCGGAAUUAUUGGGCGUAAAGAGCGCGCAGGUGGUUGAUUAAGUCUGAUGCGAAAGCCCACGGCUUAACCGUGGAGGGUCAUUGGAAACUGGUCGACUUGAGUGCAGAAGAGGGAAGUGGAAUUCCAUGUGUAGCGGUGAAAUGCGUAGAGAUAUGGAGGAACACCAGUGGCGAAGGCGGCUUCCUGGUCUGUAACUGACACUGAGGCGCGAAAGCGUGGGGAGCAAACAGGAUUAGAUACCCUAUCAUCCACGCCGUAAACGAGUGA